This 662-nucleotide long non-coding RNA is filed under the name Gouania willdenowi (blunt-snouted clingfish). RNAcentral describes it as "lncRNA (ENSGWIG00000017796.1)". Lineage: Eukaryota; Metazoa; Chordata; Actinopteri; Blenniiformes; Gobiesocidae. The record is from RNAcentral.
GACAGUGAGGUCUCAGACAUGGAGACGGAGAAGGACUCUUGUUUGAGACGUCCAUCCUCAGGUGAUUUUAACAUUUAAGUCUUUCUUCUGGGUGAUUGUCCUGCACAACAAAUGUCUUUAUGGAGAGGUGUGAACGGAGACCCACUUUGUUACUAGAAUAUGUUCAAAGACCAUUAAGACAACUUUAGUGAGUUAAUAACUGUCUGAUUUGUUAAAGAAUCCUCAGGAGGAAAAAGAAAGACGCCUUCCUCUGAGUGUGGUGAGGACACCCUGUCCUCAGCAUCCUCUACACCAAGAAGGCCACACCAUGUCGAGUCAGACUGUGAUGAUGCUGAAGCAGGACCCUCUGAAGCAAAGAGACAAACUGUGACAUCUAUAACGGAUGACUCUGAAGAAGGAACCCAAAGAUACAACCGAGCACAGCGAGGUGAAUCCUCUGUUACAGGUAUGGCACAGUCUGGACAGUUUACCCAUUACCUUUUUCAACACAACCACUAGGUAGGCAUUAUUAGUGUUAUUGAAACACAUUAUGUAAAUUGGUUGAUUUAUCUUCCUGUAUGUUUUUUAUUAAACAAAAUAAGAAAUAAGAUUGUUAAUGCCAAACAAGAUGGUUGCGCUACAACUACAAAAAUCCUACGUAUAUAUUGUGAACUUGCUGCCCU